This 660-nucleotide ribosomal RNA is filed under the name Yola costipennis. Its description in RNAcentral is "eukaryotic LSU rRNA". It matches the Rfam family "Eukaryotic large subunit ribosomal RNA", at positions 663 to 1265 of the family's 3401-position model. The record is from RNAcentral. Lineage: Eukaryota; Metazoa; Arthropoda; Insecta; Coleoptera; Dytiscidae.
GGACCAAGGAGUCUAGCGCGCGCGCGAGUCACCGGGAACCGAUAAACCCGCAGGCGCAAUGAAAGUGAAGGUCGGCCUCGAGCUGACCGAGGGAGGAUCGGCCGCGUCUCUUGUCAAAAAGCGCGGCCGCGCACUCCCGGGGCGUCUCGCACUCAUCGCGAGGCGAGGCGCACCACGAGCGCGCGCGCCGGGACCCGAAAGAUGGUGAACUAUGCCUGGUCAGGACGAAGUCAGGGGAAACCCUGAUGGAGGUCCGUAGCGAUUCUGACGUGCAAAUCGAUCGUCGGAACUGGGUAUAGGGGCGAAAGACUAAUCGAACCAUCUAGUAGCUGGUUCCCUCCGAAGUUUCCCUCAGGAUAGCUGGCGCUCGCUCGGAAACGACUUCACGAGUCUCAUCCGGUAAAGCGAAUGAUUAGAGGCAUUGGGGUCGAAACGGCCUCAACCUAUUCUCAAACUUUAAAUGGGUGAGAUCUCCGGCUUGCUUGAAACGUGAAGCCGGAGGUCGGAUCAACGGGUGCCAAGUGGGCCACUUUUGGUAAGCAGAACUGGCGCUGUGGGAUGAACCAAACGUCGAGUUAAAGCGCCUAAAUCGACGCUUAUGGGACACCAUGAAAGGCGUUGGUAACUUAAGACAGCAGGACGGUGGCCAUGGAAGUCGGA